GGCUGCAGUGCAUUGUUAUCCGACUAAGGAUUUCGCACAUAGUUUACAGUCCAGUUUAUUUAAGUACAGAACCGGUCGGGAAACCGACGGUUUCGAAACCUAUGCACGGGUCUCCAAUCAACUGUAUGUGUAUCCAUGUAUCGGUUUUCGUGGUAACAACUCUGAAAACCACGAUAAACCUUCAGUCUGGGACAAUGGAAAGGACUGGAACGCUUUGCACUAAAGAAGAAUCCUCAAGGUUCGUCGAGGAAGACGUCAGAUAUACGUUUCAUUCGACAGGAACGUUCCCGCCCGACUAUGUAAUACGGUUCCAACAAACGCUGCGCGAACGCAAUGAUGGGAUGGUGAUGGUUGAAAGGCACGUUUUAUUGUUAGAAAUUCUCGGUUUAUUGAAAGUUUUAUUGAAUAUUUACAUUAAUUCACACCUUUCGCUGCUAACCUCUUGUCGCGUUCUUCAGCGAUUGAUAGCUUAACACCCUUAUCCCUCGGUAAACUAAUGUAGGGCUUUGUACCUCUGCCAAUGAUGAACACGUUAUUCAACCUGCGCAAAGUAA
This is a long non-coding RNA of Megalopta genalis, 554 nucleotides long. RefSeq lists it as uncharacterized. The record is from RefSeq and is a predicted model, not a curated record. Lineage: Eukaryota; Metazoa; Arthropoda; Insecta; Hymenoptera; Halictidae.